Molecule: ribosomal RNA, 748 nt
Filed under: Lactiplantibacillus plantarum
Lineage: Bacteria; Bacillati; Bacillota; Bacilli; Lactobacillales; Lactobacillaceae
Description: bacterial SSU rRNA
Rfam family: Bacterial small subunit ribosomal RNA
Source: RNAcentral
UUGAGUGAGUGGCGAACUGGUGAGUAACACGUGGGAAACCUGCCCAGAAGCGGGGGAUAACACCUGGAAACAGAUGCUAAUACCGCAUAACAACUUGGACCGCAUGGUCCGAGCUUGAAAGAUGGCUUCGGCUAUCACUUUUGGAUGGUCCCGCGGCGUAUUAGCUAGAUGGUGGGGUAACGGCUCACCAUGGCAAUGAUACGUAGCCGACCUGAGAGGGUAAUCGGCCACAUUGGGACUGAGACACGGCCCAAACUCCUACGGGAGGCAGCAGUAGGGAAUCUUCCACAAUGGACGAAAGUCUGAUGGAGCAACGCCGCGUGAGUGAAGAAGGGUUUCGGCUCGUAAAACUCUGUUGUUAAAGAAGAACAUAUCUGAGAGUAACUGUUCAGGUAUUGACGGUAUUUAACCAGAAAGCCACGGCUAACUACGUGCCAGCAGCCGCGGUAAUACGUAGGUGGCAAGCGUUGUCCGGAUUUAUUGGGCGUAAAGCGAGCGCAGGCGGUUUUUUAAGUCUGAUGUGAAAGCCUUCGGCUCAACCGAAGAAGUGCAUCGGAAACUGGGAAACUUGAGUGCAGAAGAGGACAGUGGAACUCCAUGUGUAGCGGUGAAAUGCGUAGAUAUAUGGAAGAACACCAGUGGCGAAGGCGGCUGUCUGGUCUGUAACUGACGCUGAGGCUCGAAAGUAUGGGUAGCAAACAGGAUUAGAUACCCUGGUAGUCCAUACCGUAAACGAUGAAUGCUAAGU